Molecule: ribosomal RNA, 741 nt
Filed under: uncultured Pseudomonadota bacterium
Lineage: Bacteria; Pseudomonadati; Pseudomonadota
Description: bacterial SSU rRNA
Rfam family: Bacterial small subunit ribosomal RNA
Source: RNAcentral
GCAGUCGAACGAGAAAACCUUCGGGUGAGUACAGUGGCCGCACGGGUGAGGAACGCGUAGGUAAUCUACCCUCUGGCGGGGGACAACACUCCGAAAGGAAUGCUAAUACCGCAUAAGACCACGCUCUCUACGGUGAGAGUGGUAAAAGGCGCCUCAAAGCGCCACCAGAGGAUGAGCCUGCGUCCCAUCAGCUUGUUGGUAAGGUAAUGGCUUACCAAGGCUAAGACGGGUAGCUGGUCUGAGAGGAUGAUCAGCCACACUGGUACUGGAACACGGACCAGACUCCUACGGGAGGCAGCAGUGAGGAAUAUUGGGCAAUGGGCGAAAGCCUGACCCAGCCACGCCGCGUGUGUGAUGAAGGCCUUCGGGUCGUAAAGCACUGUGGGGAGAGACGAACAUGCGCAUGAGGAAAUGCUUGCGCACUGACGGUACCUCCUUAGCAAGCACCGGCUAACUCUGUGCCAGCAGCCGCGGUAAUACAGAGGGUGCAAACGUUGCUCGGAUUUACUGGGCGUAAAGCGCGUGUAGGCGGACUCGCAAGUCGGUUGUGAAAUCCCUGGGCUCAACCUAGGAACUGCAUCCGAAACUGCUUGUCUUGAGUAAUGGGGAGGGUGGCGGAAUUCCCGGUGUAGAGGUGAAAUUCGUAGAUAUCGGGAGGAACAUCAGUGGCGAAGGCGGCCACCUGGACAUUUACUGACGCUGAGACGCGAAAGCGUGGGGAGCAAACAGGAUUAGAUACCC